This 21-nucleotide non-coding RNA is filed under the name Sclerotinia trifoliorum. Lineage: Eukaryota; Fungi; Ascomycota; Leotiomycetes; Helotiales; Sclerotiniaceae. The record is from RNAcentral.
CAAAAUUUCUGAUUCGUUACG